RNAcentral lists this ribosomal RNA (253 nucleotides) under uncultured bacterium. RNAcentral's name for it is "partial 16S ribosomal RNA". It matches the Rfam family "Bacterial small subunit ribosomal RNA", at positions 524 to 776 of the family's 1533-position model. The record is from RNAcentral.
UACAGAGGGUGCAAACGUUGUUCGGAUUUACUGGGCGUAAAGCGCGUGUAGGCGGCUUGGUAAGUCGGAUGUGAAAGCCCACGGCUCAACCGUGGAAGUGCAUUCGAAACUGCCUCGCUCGAGUCCUGGAGAGGAAGGUGGAAUGCUUGGUGUAGAGGUGAAAUUCGUAGAUAUCAAGCGGAACACCGGUGGCGAAGGCGACCUUCUGGACAGUGACUGACGCUGAGACGCGAAAGCGUGGGGAGCAAACAGG